RNAcentral lists this ribosomal RNA (484 nucleotides) under uncultured bacterium. Its description in RNAcentral is "partial 16S ribosomal RNA". It matches the Rfam family "Bacterial small subunit ribosomal RNA", at positions 30 to 507 of the family's 1533-position model. The record is from RNAcentral.
AUUGAACGCUGGCGGCAGGCCUAACACAUGCAAGUCGAGCGGAUGAAGGGAGCUUGCUCCUGGAUUCAGCGGCGGACGGGUGAGUAAUGCCUAGGAAUCUGCCUGGUAGUGGGGGAUAACGUCCGGAAACGGGCGCUAAUACCGCAUACGUCCUGAGGGAGAAAGUGGGGGAUCUUCGGACCUCACGCUAUCAGAUGAGCCUAGGUCGGAUUAGCUAGUUGGUGGGGUAAAGGCCUACCAAGGCGACGAUCCGUAACUGGUCUGAGAGGAUGAUCAGUCACACUGGAACUGAGACACGGUCCAGACUCCUACGGGAGGCAGCAGUGGGGAAUAUUGGACCAUGGGCGAAAGCCUGAUCCAGCCCUGCCGCGUGUGUGAAGAAGGUCUUCGGAUUGUAAAGCACUUUAAGUUGGGAGGAAGGGCAGUAAGUUAAUACCUUGCUGUUUUGACGUUACCAACAGAAUAAGCACCGGCUAACUUCGUG